UGGGGAAUCUUGGACAAUGGGGGCAACCCUGAUCCAGCCAUGCCGCGUGAGUGAUGAAGGCCUUAGGGUCGUAAAGCUCUUUCGCCUGUGAAGAUAAUGACGGUAGCAGGUAAAGAAACCCCGGCUAACUCCGUGCCAGCAGCCGCGGUAAUACGGAGGGGGUUAGCGUUGUUCGGAAUUACUGGGCGUAAAGCGCGCGUAGGCGGAUUGUUAAGUCGGGGGGUGAAAUCCCGGGGCUCAACCCCGGAACUGCCUUCGAUACUGGCAAUCUAGAGAUCUGGAGAGGCGAGUGGAAUUCCGAGUGUAGAGGUGAAAUUCGUAGAUAUUCGGAGGAACACCAGUGGCGAAGGCGGCUCGCUGGCCAGAUACUGACGCUGAGGUGCGAAAGCGUGGGGAGCAAAACAGGAUUAGAUACCCUGGUAGUCCACACCGUAAACGAUGAAUGCCAGUCGUCGGGUAGCAUGCUAUUCGGUGACACACCUAACGGAUUAAAGCAUUCCGCCUGGGGAGUACGGUCGCAAGAUUAAAA
RNAcentral lists this ribosomal RNA (529 nucleotides) under uncultured bacterium. RNAcentral's name for it is "bacterial SSU rRNA". It matches the Rfam family "Bacterial small subunit ribosomal RNA", at positions 355 to 899 of the family's 1533-position model. The record is from RNAcentral.